This 79-nucleotide transfer RNA is filed under the name Hirsutella minnesotensis 3608. Its description in RNAcentral is "tRNA-Und (NNN) (tRNA-Und-NNN-8-1)". The record is from RNAcentral. Lineage: Eukaryota; Fungi; Ascomycota; Sordariomycetes; Hypocreales; Ophiocordycipitaceae.
ACCCCUAUAGUAUAGUAGUAAUAUACCUAGAGGCUUACGAUAGUCCGCGCGGGAGUUAGUUCGAACCCGGCUAGGGGUA